This 29-nucleotide non-coding RNA is filed under the name Bombyx mori (domestic silkworm). Lineage: Eukaryota; Metazoa; Arthropoda; Insecta; Lepidoptera; Bombycidae. The record is from RNAcentral.
UGACUUACGAUCUUGAUUAUCUGAUGCCC